Non-coding RNA from Camelina sativa (false flax), 2637 nucleotides. The record is from RefSeq and is a predicted model, not a curated record. Lineage: Eukaryota; Viridiplantae; Streptophyta; Magnoliopsida; Brassicales; Brassicaceae.
UAAAACAGAAAUCCUAAAAAACACUAAUGCGAAUGUUAGAGCUGUGAGUAUAGUCUAGAGGAUGUUCUAAUGUGUUUCAUUAGGAUCACAGAAGAUACGCUUCCAUUGUCACAACUAUCAAUCUCUUGUGAGGAUUUUAUGCUCUGCAUGUAAGUGUCAACAUUUGGAGCUGUUCUUGGCAUGGUCACAGAUAGGAGAAUCAAAUGGUCUUCAGGUUUCUUCUGUUUUUCUUGUCAGCCUCGGAUUUCUACUAUCAAGAACGCGCGAGUAGGAACAUAGAGCACUUGGGGGAAAACAGAACUUCACCAGCAAGAAGAUUUCCUCUGAGACUGCCAUGUGUUGUUCUCUUUUUCCUACAACAGAGAUACAUAUAUCUGGCUAGUUUCCUGGAAAGCUUUGUCUCCAAAAUUUCCAUUACAAAAUCACAGAGGGAAAUGAAUCGUUUUUCUUCACCACUUAAUUUUUCAGAGGAUUCUACUAAUUAAAGCUAGUGUAAGGCUUUCUGUUUGCACAUAUCUUUUGGGUUAUUAGCAUGAGAAGGGGGUCUUUUUUAACAGGGUACAAGGGAAUUCCUUCCAGAAGAAGGCAACACUAUUACUUAAGUUGUGGAAGUAAAAACUUAGUUAAAAUGCUUACUGGGGAUCAGUCUAGCAAUAUGUGGAAACCGAGGACCAAGGCAACGGCUGAUGCUUUAGCAUCCUUGAGGAUAUAUCUUGGAGGAUAACAAGGUAGCUCAACAAUUAUCCUUUCAUACCGUAAGUUUAUAGUUAUAUGAAAUGUUUUCCUUUCUUUGUCUUGUUUUCCUUGUUGCUUCCUUUUGGCUUUUCUAUUCUCAUUAUAGAGAUUGUGCUUUUCCAAGGAUAGAAGGUGAUACCAAUAUUUCUCAUUAAUUUCUCUUUUGUAUUUUUUUUGUUGGCACGAAGGCCUUAUUCUGUAAUAUUGGCCUCUUUUGAACUGUGGACUACAUCUGGUUAAUUUCCAUUAGAUUUGACUUGGCUAUUUAUUUUGUUCGUCGUUCUUUUACUGAUUUUUAUGUGAUUUGUCUUCAGAUAAGUUUCACUUGUUUGGCUUCUAAGCAAGCUGCUUGGGUUGAUUUAUUUGUUUUAUCUCUUGGCUAUAUAUAGCUUGUUGAUGAUUCUUAGAUACGUAUAGAAAUUGAUGUUCCAAGAUUUAUGUUCUGUAGAGAGAUGCUAUGAUGUUGAAGGUUUUCGUGAUUUAAUUUUUCUCCGGCUCUUGAUUAUGUGGGUACACUUCUUUUUGUGAGUUUCUCUUUCUUCUACCGUUCAAGCCUUUUUCAUGCAUUUCCCGGAGGGUCUCUUUGGCAUAAUUUUCGAGUAGAAGAUUUAGCUUGUAUGAAUCAUUGAACCACUAAUACAAACCCUUGAUUAUUCGGGUGUAUUUCUGUUUCCUAGUGCUAUGGUCAUCCUCUUUAUUCAAAAAUUAUAUGCUCUAGCUAGAAGAUAACAGAGGUUCCAACAGAAAACUGCAUGGGGUUCCUACUUAGUCUCCUGAGAUGGCUUUAUUAUCAUGCGGGCUUCAUCAUUUCCUAAGGUUUAAGUUGUAAUCAUAGUCUUCUUUUUGUUUAUAUGUUUAAUUUACGUCAUUAGAGAUAUGCUAAAGAUGCAAAAGCAUGCAAGCUCCACUAUGAUUAAUCCUUAUUAUGCAUACCCCUUAGACGGUUACUCCGUGCUUUGAUACUUAAUCCGAGCUGACGUUGAUGAUGUGUUGUUGCCUUAUCUAUCUAUCCCAGAUCUAUGUUUAAGAUCAUGGUAAGUUUGUUUUGUUAUAGAUCAUUGGUUUCGUCAGGGUAUGACCUUCUCGUUUAUUCUAUUUGCUAAAUAUUGUUGGAAAAUCCAACAAACACAUGGAAUCGAAAAUUGCUGAUGAUCGAGUAUUCCCUUGGAAUUAUAGUACAGUUUUAAAGAUGACAACAUGAUGUUCAAGCUGAUGCAGCUAUCUUGACGAGGUAGGAGUGACGUGCUAUGUCAUGACCGCUUCUUCUUGUUGGAUGCUUCUCUGACUCAUGGAAGGCAGAGUGUGUGUUGCUUGUUUCUUCUUCCCUUCUUUUGGAUGGAAAAGCAAUAUAUUAUUCCUUGUAAAGGUGCUCUUAGUUUUUGAUCCAUCAUCAUACAUAUAUUUUUUUUAGUGAAUCUCAUAUGUUAUAGCUUCGUUUAGGUUUUAAGAGAGUAAACAAACAAAAUUUUACACUUGUUUCGCUUUGAUUGUUUGAUUGAUCACUGCUUAUGACAUCUUGGGCUUGGUUUUUUUUUUUUUGUGUUUGAGAUUGCUUCUUGUUUUUUCUGAAUAUCUCAUCUAUGUAUAUAGGUCUGUGAAACGAUGCAAAGUGGCAACAUUGACGUAGUUCUCCGGGCUAUCAGUUUCUCAUUUUGGCUUUCCUAACUUACUAUUAUAUGAGGUUGUAUCUUUUGCAGGGUUUAAGUUGAUUUUGUUGGCAUAUUUUAUGAAUUAUAGCUCUCUUUAUCAUAUAUAUCUAGAGGACGCUGAAGUAGUUCUUUCCACACUUGUUCGUCUUCAUGCUUUUACUAAUCUUCCUAGUGUUGUUGGCUUCUCUGUUUGUUGCAAUCUACUAUGUUUUGUCAUAGAUUCUUGAGGUUAUAAUAGAAAAGCAUUGGUCUA